This 72-nucleotide transfer RNA is filed under the name Camelus ferus (Wild Bactrian camel). It matches the Rfam family "tRNA". Rfam says of the family: Transfer RNA (tRNA) molecules are approximately 80 nucleotides in length. Their secondary structure includes four short double-helical elements and three loops (D, anti-codon, and T loops). Further hydrogen bonds mediate the characteristic L-shaped molecular structure. tRNAs have two regions of fundamental functional importance: the anti-codon, which is responsible for specific mRNA codon recognition, and the 3' end, to which the tRNAs corresponding amino acid is attached (by aminoacyl-tRNA synthetases). tRNAs cope with the degeneracy of the genetic code in two manners: having more than one tRNA (with a specific anti-codon) for a particular amino acid; and 'wobble' base-pairing, i.e. permitting non-standard base-pairing at the 3rd anti-codon position. Lineage: Eukaryota; Metazoa; Chordata; Mammalia; Artiodactyla; Camelidae. The record is from Rfam by way of RNAcentral.
GAGGGGAUAGCUCAGUGGUAGAGCACAUGCUUAGCAUGCACGAGGUCCUGGGUUCAAUCCCCAGUACCUCCU